UGGGGAAUUUUGCGCAAUGGACGAAAGUCUGACGCAGCAACGCCGCGUGGGUGAUGAAGGUCUUCGGACUGUAAAACCCUGUCGUCAGGGACGAAGGUGGCGGAGUGAAUAGCUCCGUUACUUGACGGUACCUGGAGAGGAAGCCCCGGCUAACUCUGUGCCAGCAGCCGCGGUAAUACAGAGGGGGCAAGCGUUAUUCGGAAUUAUUGGGCGUAAAGGGCGCGUAGGCGGUUUUUUAAGUCAGAUGUGUAAUCCCCGAGCUCAACUUGGGAACUGCAUCUGAGACUGGAAGGCUAGAGUACUGGAGAGGGUGGUGGAAUUCCUCGUGUAGCGGUGAAAUGCGUAGAGAUGAGGAGGAACACCAGUGGCGAAGGCGGCCACCUGGACAGUAACUGACGCU
This 400-nucleotide ribosomal RNA is filed under the name uncultured bacterium. RNAcentral describes it as "bacterial SSU rRNA". It matches the Rfam family "Bacterial small subunit ribosomal RNA", at positions 355 to 747 of the family's 1533-position model. The record is from RNAcentral.